UGUUGGAUGUCGGGGGUGGGGAGAGAGCAGAGAGGGAGAGGCCACCUUCGCCGCGCUCACGGGCCUCGUCUUCAAGGAAGGGACUUGCUAAGCAAUCUUAUGCGGGGCACAAUACCGGUGUCGUUCGGAAGCCUAACUCACUUGCGGCAAAACAGCAGCAAUGCCAUGAAGCAGCUCUGUUUCUUGUUCUCUACUCUGCUUUGAACUGAACUUAUUUCAGUUAGCAACUGUAUACUAAAUUUGACAGUAUGGGUGCUUUCUUGUGAAUUGUGAUGUUGUUCCCAUCACAUUAGAUUAGGUUAAUUACAUCCACAUGUAUAGUAGCUUCUGUCCAAGUGCUCUUCAUCUUGUGUGUCAUCUGCAAGGCAAUCAAGUUAAUUAGAUGUUGUUAUUUUCAUGUUCUGCUUCA
This is a non-coding RNA of Triticum urartu, 409 nucleotides long. The record is from RefSeq and is a predicted model, not a curated record. Lineage: Eukaryota; Viridiplantae; Streptophyta; Magnoliopsida; Poales; Poaceae.